RNAcentral lists this ribosomal RNA (497 nucleotides) under uncultured bacterium. RNAcentral describes it as "partial 16S ribosomal RNA". It matches the Rfam family "Bacterial small subunit ribosomal RNA", at positions 28 to 507 of the family's 1533-position model. The record is from RNAcentral.
GAUGAACGCUGGCGGCGGGCCUAAUACAUGCAAGUCGAGCGAACGGACGAGAAGCUUGCUUCUCUGAUGUUAGCGGCGGACGGGUGAGUAACACGUGGAUAACCUACCUAUAAGACUGGGAUAACUUCGGGAAACCGGAGCUAAUACCGGAUAAUAUUUUGAACCGCAUGGUUCAAAAGUGAAAGACGGUCUUGCUGUCACUUAUAGAUGGAUCCGCGCUGCAUUAGCUAGUUGGUAAGGUAACGGCUUACCAAGGCAACGAUGCAUAGCCGACCUGAGAGGGUGAUCGGCCACACUGGAACUGAGACACGGUCCAGACUCCUACGGGAGGCAGCAGUAGGGAAUCUUCCGCAAUGGGCGAAAGCCUGACGGAGCAACGCCGCGUGAGUGAUGAAGGUCUUCGGAUCGUAAAACUCUGUUAUUAGGGAAGAACAUAUGUGUAAGUAACUGUGCACAUCUUGACGGUACCUAAUCAGAAAGCCACGGCUAACUACGUG